Long non-coding RNA from Carassius auratus (goldfish), 1052 nucleotides. RefSeq lists it as uncharacterized. Lineage: Eukaryota; Metazoa; Chordata; Actinopteri; Cypriniformes; Cyprinidae. The transcript has 2 exons. The record is from RefSeq and is a predicted model, not a curated record.
AAGACGCGAGUCGAUCUCUGCGAUCAAUACUAGAAGUGUAUAAUUGAAGAAAAGUAGAAAACCUUUAAUUUGAUAAAUUUAAUACCAAGCAGCGUAUGGAGAAGCCGAGUGAAUGUUGUUGAGUCACAUUUCACUCCAGGCUUAUAGUGAAUCGUGUGGGUAUUCAUCGUUCACCAACGCCAUUGCUGGCCGACGCGUGCUUGGGUGAAAGCAAAAGACGCUAAAUAUAGAGGUAAAUGAUUAAUAUAGGAUUAAAAGUUCUUGUGAAAAAUUAAUAUUGAUAUGUUCUAUCGUUUAAUUGUACUAUUUCACUCUAAAUGAGUAUAAGUGUGGUCAUAGUGAACCGCGUGGUUAUUCCUCCAUUUCAGUUCACCGGCGCCAUUAUUGGUCACAUGCGCCUGUGUGAGGAAGACAGAUAGGAUUGUUCUAGAGGCCAGGUUUUUUUUUGUCCCUUUUUUUUUCUUUUCUUCUUCCUUGUAUUUCUAUUUUUUUUCCCUUGGUUCUGGAUUGUGAUCUUCUGCGAUAUCCUGUGAAAUUCACGUUUGAUGGCGAGCCACCCGAAUCUGCUACAGAAAGGAAAAGACUACAAUUCAUAAAGAAGAGGACAAUAUCCUUUCUUUCAUUCUCCAGUCUUGCUUUAAGUAAGACAAUUCCUAUUAGAGACUAUUGAAUACUUUUUUUUUGAGAUUGACAAAUACAGGGAUUGACAGGAAACUGAUCCAUGCUUUGAAUAGCAUUGAACACUCUUGAUGGUGUAUGGUUACCCAUAGCCAUAAGUUGAUUGAAAUUGAUAUGUGAUAUAUUUUGAGAAAGGUGUUCUAAAAGAGAAAAAAAGACACCACUCCUUUAUUAAAUAUUUUUGUUUAUUUUAUUUUAUUUCUUUUUUUUGACAUUUAAUUUACCAGUCUGUACAAUACUUUUCUGUUUUCUGGGGUAAAAGAAGAGUGCACUCUCGAAGGGAUUUUCAUGCUUGAGAUUUGUAUCAUUGCCUGAUAUUGUAUUUAACCUGAUUAUAAUUCUCACUGGAAAUCUAAUUACAUACCAGUUUGCAU